UACGAAGGGGGCUAGCGUUGCUCGGAAUGACUGGGCGUAAAGGGCGCGUAGGCGGUUUGUUUAGUCAGGCGUGAAAUUCCUGGGCUUAACCUGGGGGCUGCGCUUGAUACAGGCAGACUUGAGUGUGGAAGAGGGUCGUGGAAUUCCCAGUGUAGAGGUGAAAUUCGUAGAUAUUGGGAAGAACACCGGUGGCGAAGGCGGCGACCUGGUCCAUUACUGACGCUGAGGCGCGAAAGCGUGGGGAGCAAACAGGAUUAGAUACCCUGGUAGUCCACGCCGUAAACGAUGUGUGCUGGAUGUUGGGUGGCCUAGCCAUUCAGUGUCGUAGCUAACGCGAUAAGCACACCGCCUGGGGAGUACGGCCGCAAGGUUGAA
RNAcentral lists this ribosomal RNA (375 nucleotides) under uncultured bacterium. RNAcentral describes it as "bacterial SSU rRNA". It matches the Rfam family "Bacterial small subunit ribosomal RNA", at positions 524 to 898 of the family's 1533-position model. The record is from RNAcentral.